RNAcentral lists this ribosomal RNA (176 nucleotides) under uncultured bacterium. RNAcentral describes it as "partial 16S ribosomal RNA". It matches the Rfam family "Bacterial small subunit ribosomal RNA", at positions 1322 to 1500 of the family's 1533-position model. The record is from RNAcentral.
GAAGCCGGAAUUGCUGUAAUGGCAGGUCAGCAUACUGCCGUGAAUACGUUCCCGGGCCUUGUACACACCGCCCGUCACACCAUGAGAGUUGGGAAUACCCGAAGCCUGUGAGCUAACGUAAGAGGCAGCAGUCGAAGGUAGAAUCAAUGAUUGGGGUGAAGUCGUAACAAGGUACC